CCUACGGGUGGCAGCAGUGAGGAAUAUUGGUCAAUGGACGCAAGUCUGAACCAGCCAUGCAGCGUGCAGGAAGACGGCUCUAUGAGUUGUAAACUGCUUUUGUACGAGGGUAAACUCAGAUACGCGUAUCUGUCUGAAAGUACCGUAUGAAUAAGGAUCGGCUAACUCCGUGCCAGCAGCCGCGGUAAUACGGAGGAUUCAAGCGUUAUCCGGAUUUAUUGGGUUUAAAGGGUGCGUAGGUGGGCUGUUAAGUUAGAUGUGAAAUCCCGAGGCUCAACUUCGGAAUUGCAUUUGAUACUGUUCGGCUAGAGAGUAGUUGCGGUAGGCGGAAUGUAUGGUGUAGCGGUGAAAUGCUUAGAGAUCAUACAGAACACCGAUUGCGAAGGCAGCUUACCAAGCUACUUCUGACGUUGAGGCACGAAAGCGUGGGGAGCAAACAGGAUUAGAUACCCUGGUAGUC
RNAcentral lists this ribosomal RNA (460 nucleotides) under uncultured bacterium. Its description in RNAcentral is "partial 16S ribosomal RNA". It matches the Rfam family "Bacterial small subunit ribosomal RNA", at positions 338 to 795 of the family's 1533-position model. The record is from RNAcentral.